This 496-nucleotide ribosomal RNA is filed under the name uncultured bacterium. RNAcentral's name for it is "partial 16S ribosomal RNA". It matches the Rfam family "Bacterial small subunit ribosomal RNA", at positions 27 to 507 of the family's 1533-position model. The record is from RNAcentral.
GGACGAACGCUGGCGGCGUGCCUAAUCCAUGCAAGUAGAACGCUGAAGGAGGAGCUUGCUUCUCUGGAUGAGUUGCGAACGGGUGAGUAACGCGUAGGUAACCUGCCUGGUAGCGGGGGAUAACUAUUGGAAACGAUAGCUAAUACCGCAUAAUAGUAGAUGUUGCAUGACAUUUGCUUAAAAGGUGCAAUUGCAUCACUACCAGAUGGACCUGCGUUGUAUUAGCUAGUUGGUGAGGUAACGGCUCACCAAGGCAACGAUACAUAGCCGACCUGAGAGGGUGAUCGGCCACACUGGGACUGAGACACGGCCCAGACUCCUACGGGAGGCAGCAGUAGGGAAUCUUCGGCAAUGGACGGAAGUCUGACCGAGCAACGCCGCGUGAGUGAAGAAGGUUUUCGGAUCGUAAAGCUCUGUUGUAAGAGAAGAACGAGUGUGAGAGUGGAAAGUUCACACUGUGACGGUAUCUUACCAGAAAGGGACGGCUAACUACGUG